UCUACUCAUCUGAUUUGUGAUUUGUAAAUGUCACAUACUAUAUUAGACUACCACAUCAAUCUCUUUUACAUAUAUAAAAAAACUCAUGACUUGGGGAUCAUUAUAGAGCACAACCGGAUGAGAUCCUAGCAUGUUGAUCAAAUCGCCGAGUAUAAAUCUUAAUCUGGUACCUUAUUGUUAGUUCGUUAAGUAGUGUUCUGAAACCAGUCUUAAACUCAUCAAAAGUAACAUUCCAGUCCUUUUUUUUUUUGAACACAAAGUAACAUUCAAGUCUUUUUUUUAUCAACAGUAACAUUCAUGUCUAAAACAAGUAAUCUACCACGUUUUACCUCGUCAACAAUAAACACCCACCCUUUAUUGUCAUCUAUUCUCCAUUC
Molecule: long non-coding RNA, 377 nt
Filed under: Brassica napus (rape)
Lineage: Eukaryota; Viridiplantae; Streptophyta; Magnoliopsida; Brassicales; Brassicaceae
Description: long non-coding RNA (BNAP_LNC001294)
Source: RNAcentral